Molecule: ribosomal RNA, 501 nt
Filed under: uncultured bacterium
Lineage: Bacteria
Description: partial 16S ribosomal RNA
Rfam family: Bacterial small subunit ribosomal RNA
Source: RNAcentral
AUUGAACGCUGGCGGCAGGCUUAACACAUGCAAGUCGAGCGGAGAUGAGGUGCUUGCACCUUAUCUUAGCGGCGGACGGGUGAGUAAUGCUUAGGAAUCUGCCUAUUAGUGGGGGACAACAUUCCGAAAGGAAUGCUAAUACCGCAUACGUCCUACGGGAGAAAGCAGGGGAGCUUCGGACCUUGCGCUAAUAGAUGAGCCUAAGUCGGAUUAGCUAGUUGGUGGGGUAAAGGCCUACCAAGGCGACGAUCUGUAGCGGGUCUGAGAGGAUGAUCCGCCACACUGGGACUGAGACACGGCCCAGACUCCUACGGGAGGCAGCAGUGAGGAAUAUUGGACAAUCGGGGAAACCCUGAUCCAGCCAUGCCGCGUGUGUGAAGAAGGCCUUAUGGUUGUAAAGCACUUUAAGCGAGGAGGAGGCUACUGAGACUAAUACUCUUGGAUAGUGGACGUUACUCGCAGAAUAAGCACCGGCUAACUCUGUGCCAGCAGCCGCCGUAA